RNAcentral lists this ribosomal RNA (402 nucleotides) under uncultured bacterium. RNAcentral describes it as "bacterial SSU rRNA". It matches the Rfam family "Bacterial small subunit ribosomal RNA", at positions 355 to 774 of the family's 1533-position model. The record is from RNAcentral.
UGGGGAAUCUUGGACAAUGGGGGCAACCCUGAUCCAGCGAUGCCGCGUGAGCGAAGAAGGCCUUAGGGUUGUAAAGCUCUUUCGCCCGCGACGAUGAUGACGGUAGCGGGAGAAGAAGCCCCGGCUAACUCCGUGCCAGCAGCCGCGGUAAUACGGAGGGGGCUAGCGUUGUCCGGAAUUACUGGGCGUAAAGCGCGCGUAGGCGGUCCACCAAGUCGGGGGUGAAAGCCCGGGGCUCAACCCCGGAAUGUCCUCCGAGACUGUUGGACUGGAGUUCGGGAGAGGAGAGCGGAAUGCCCAGUGUAGAGGUGAAAUUCGUAGAUAUUGGGAAGAACACCGGUGGCGAAGGCGGCUCUCUGGCCCGCAACUGACGCUGAGGCGCUAAAGCGUGGGGAGCAAACA